Molecule: ribosomal RNA, 333 nt
Filed under: uncultured eukaryote
Lineage: Eukaryota
Description: partial 18S ribosomal RNA
Rfam family: Eukaryotic small subunit ribosomal RNA
Source: RNAcentral
CCUUAGAUGUCCGGGGCCGCACGCGCGCUACACUGAAGGAAUCAGCGUGGCUUUCUCCCUGACCCGAAAGGGUUGGGAAACCCGUUGAAUCUCCUUCGUGAUAGGGAUUGGGGCUUGAAAUUGUUCCCCAUGAACGAGGAAUUCCCAGUAAGCGCGAGUCAUAAGCUCGCGUUGAUUACGUCCCUGCCCUUUGUACACACCGCCCGUCGCUACUACCGAUUGAACGGUUUAGUGAGGGCCUCGGAUUGGUCUCGGCCCGCUCUUUACCGGGCGGCGCCGUUGGUCGAGAAGACGCUCGAACUUGAUCGUUUAGAGGAAGUAAAAGUCGUAACA